GACUCAGCAGCAGUCAGUCAGUCAGAAGAGCUCUCUCAGACGGACACCACGUUAUUAAAGUAAGUUCUAUUAUUUAUUUAUGUUCGCUUCAUACGUGAUAUAUCUUCACUAGAUAGACUAUUUUUGUUUACAAUAUGUAGCCAUUGCAAUGACUUGUAGUAAAUAUUAGUUUGGAGGAGGUUGGUGGAGUAAGUUAACAGUCAGUCAAGCUCAUAAAGAAAAACACAGCGUUUUAAAAAUGUCAGCUGUUUAACGUUAUUUCACGUUUGGUAGUUUUAUCCGAGUUGAAAACUGUCAGCUUUGAGUUGACUUUUGAGGCACUUUUUACUCAGCUGUUCUAUGGAAACGUAUCAGGACAAAUAAAACGCUAACCAAAAGUUAUUCUGUCCAGAGUAACGUUAUCCAUGUAAGUAAUUUACCAGAUGAUAUCAAUUGACUAAAUUAAUAAUGACAUUGCGUAUGAAACAAACUGUCUGCUUAAUCAGAUGAACAGACCCGCGUCAGUUAUUCAUGACUUCGCUACGCCACGAGCAACACUUGAUUCUAUUAGAAAAAGCUUUUUUAAAUGUCUCGCGUGACGUCUGGUAUAUUAACUGAAAAAAAAUCGCUUUGAAGUGACCACACCUUGAGCUGACGUUUUCAGAAGAGAACCGUGUUUUAAGAUCUCAUUUUGUCCAACAUUGCGUCCUAUGACAGAUAUAAUACUUAUUUCAUUAUUGUUCUGUGUAUGUGUGACCUUCAUCAUUUGAGGUUAUGUGUUGAUUUCACCUCUGAAUAUUUCCUCUUAUAGGUCCAUCAUCCUUUCAUGCGCUACACAGCAUUGAUAAAUGCUGAAUUUAAAAGAAUCACUACUGUCUUAUGUUCCUGCGUGUCACCUGGACCUCCAAUCCAAAAACCUGAUGAAACUCUUCUAUCAGAAAGGAUGACAGCUAGCAAAAAGACUUCAAACAAUUAAUGAUCAAAUGACAGAAGGCAUGGAUGAAGUCAGCAUCAGUGAGGUCAUUUGAAGACACCAAUGUUGGGAUUUGUGCUCUCAAACAACAUGCUUCUUGUGAUGAAGAAGAGGAUCUUUGUAUAGUCCUGGAAGCCAUGAAGGUGUUGCAACAUCGUGUUUGAGCUGAUGUAUGCCUUAAACCUGAGCUAUCCUGAUCUUCGCUUUAUUUUUGAGGAAAUCCAAACUGCAUUGAGAGUAACUUUAACGAACAGUUUCUUUCAGUGAAA
Non-coding RNA from Misgurnus anguillicaudatus (oriental weatherfish), 1221 nucleotides. The record is from RefSeq and is a predicted model, not a curated record. NCBI's taxonomy places the organism in Eukaryota, Metazoa, Chordata, Actinopteri, Cypriniformes, Cobitidae.